AAUAUUUUAGAGACCCUGUUCAAUUUGACAUCGCAACAGCAACAAGAGAUUAAGGAUGUCAAUCUUCUUGGAAUGUUUUGGUUCCUCCUCAUCAACUCAAGUCUCGGAUUAUGUCGAAGGAUCAUCGUCUGAAUUGAAAUCUCACUCAUCGGAGAAACCAAAGAGAACGCCAAAAUCGAAAGGAUCUCCUCUUGUGGUUUCUCACUUCCCCGUCAACCAUUAUCCCUCACGCUUCUAGUUCAGAGGGUUAUAUCUUAUUUUUCCUGUCUUUUUAGCUUAUUUACAACUUAUUAUAUGUAAUUUUUUUAUAAUAUAAUUUCUUUUUUUUUUUUACUUGUUCAUGUGUUGGGUCUUUUCCACGCUUGGGACUAUGUUAUUUUUGGUACAUAUUUUAUUGUUCUUUAAUAUUAGUUACAGUUCAAGUUAUUAAAAUCUUUCAGGUUACGUUAGAAAAUGAGUAUUUAACUAUUUUAAAGAAAAAUACUUGAAUAAUAAUCGGAGAAAUUGGAAGAAGAAAAAAAAAUGAGGUUUGGGGGAAAAUAAUUGAGUAGAUUUGUGAGGAAAAAAUGUUUAGUGUAUUAAUUUUGGAGACAGACAAUAUUAUAUAAUAUAGUAAUCAUAUGAUAGCAUAAUAGACUGAAGGUUUAGGGAGCUACAGCGUGAUAUAUAAUUUGCAGUAAUGUAUGAGUCUCAAGCUUAUUGAGGGCUCAUUCCCGACUGCACCUUCUCCUCCCCGCCAACCAGCCGGUAAUGAUAACAAAAAUAUAUGUAUUUGUGUAAAUAAAAUAAUAAUUGAUAUUAUUGAAUAUUUAUUAUAUGUAAAAUAAUUGAUAAUAUAUAUUUUAAUACUUAUUUAUAAAUGGAUUGGAUAUAAGGUAUCAUUUGUAUUUGUGAAUAUUCAUUGUAAAAAAUUAAAAUAACAUUUUAAUUUAUAUUUUAUUAAGUUAAAUUUAAUUAAAACUAAUAUCAAUUAAUAUUUUAUUAGAUUAAAUUUAAUUGAAAUUAAACUUUAAUUUAUAUUAUUUUAUUUUUGUAAUUUUAUUUUAAAGAUUUAUAAUAUAUUCUUUUUUUAAAUAUUCGUAAGUAUUUAUAAGUAUUUGUGAGUUUUAAAAUACUCACGAGUAUUUUUUAAAUGGUCCAGUAGGUAACGGGUGUCUCAUAAAACUUUCUUACGCAUAUUCUCGCUUUAGACAUCAACAAUAUUAUUUGUAAUAUAAUCUACUCUUGUAUAACAACACGAGUGAUACAAUCAUCGCACAAAAACAAACAAGUAAGUGUGAGCUAACAAGGAAAACCUUUGUUCCCAAUCAAUAAAGUCAAACCACAUUCGCAUACUACGAAAAUACAUUACCACCAAGCAAUAUAUAAAAAUUAUGUCAUUAUCUCGUAAGCUAUCAUCCCACACCAACCUAUUUACCGAAGUAGGGCGAUUUGAGUCAUUCUGUCGCUGCUUACCAAAAGCAUCACACACCAGAACUUGUUUUCCCUCCUUCCCAAAAGUCUUAUGAGUAAAAACUUUGCCUACUUACCAAAGACUCAUCAACAAAGUAUUAUACUCAGCUCAAGCCAAAGCAUUAUUUAACCCUCUCUCUUCCCUCAACUUACCAAAGGCUCAAGCAGAAAGGAACAACACCCAAACCUCCACAUUUUCCCUGACUUACCAAAAGCCUUAGGCAAAAAGGUACAAAAUUCGGCUUUACAAGUUACAACAAGAAGACAUAACCAAACUCAUCUCCUAACAAUACCAAUUGAGAUGGACAAGCCACACCACACCAACUAGCACAACAAAUCAGCCAACAACACAACAUGGUCCAAAUAGAACAUCAAAAUCAACCAUAAAGUUUGACCAACAUUCACACAACUAUAACAACUUAUAUGAAUCAGUCUUAGAUCAAGAAAUUUAACACAUAGUGUAAUUGAUAUAAAAACCUAUAUGAACCAAAAACACUUGAUGUGUGUUAACAAUUUAUCAAUCACAAUACACCCCCAUAAUUCAUGUUAUUAUCGUUGUAUUGCACUUACUAGGUCAUGUGUUUAUCUGGUAUUCUUGAGUACUCUAGAAAUCAUUCCAAUAUCUCAUACACGUCAUACUUGACACUUAUAUAGGUGAUUUCAUCAAGUGCAUGUUAAAUCAUACAUCACUCGUAACAGAUAUGAAAAAUCAUUAAAAUCUUUGUUUAAACUAACACUCUUAUACCACAUAGAAUUUUAAUUACAAAAUUUAACCUCCCAAUAAUGCAGUCUCUAGCACUUUUACACAGACACCAUAAGAAUGGACAUAAUUGAUUUAAAAUUAAUUUAGUGUUAUCAUAAUUAACAAGUGACUUGUUUUUUACCCAUAAGAACCUUAUUCAUGGGAUCUUCAAUCACAAAGGUUGGGUUACCAUCACUUGUUUGUUUCCAAGUGACUUAAGUUUCAUCCUCCUCAAUGUUUCUAAAAUCAUGUUUCUUUCCAAGGGUUUAGUUAGAGAAUUUGUUAUACUAUGUUCUGACUUCUCAUAGUCAAUAAAAAUAGUUCCAUUAUUUAGUAGCUGCUUCACCAAAUUAUAUUUUAAUUAUAUAUGUUUGUUCUUUCCAUUGUACUUCUUGCUUUUAGUUAUAGGUAUACCAAUUGCAAUCACAAUGUAUUGACACAAAAGGAGUUGGUUUAUGUUGUAAUUAGAGGAAAAUCUUUCUAAUUAGAGAAAAUAUUUGUAGAAUCUUCUAGUUUAUUUUUCACUAUAUUGUUUCCUUAUUUCCCUUUUUUGGAAGAUUAGAUUGUUAUAAAUAGGUGUAAGGAAAUUGUAAUAUAUAUGAAUGAUAAUAAUAAAAUUCAUUCUCUUUUCAAGUUGGUAUCAUAACUCUUGAUACUCUAUUUCCAAUGCAAUAAUAGCCAUCGUCGCUACAAUCCGGCCACUACGGUUAUAGUCGUAGCUGGUGAGAUCGUUGAUAGGGCAAAAAGGUAUACCCAACUCUGACAACACAAUGCCAAAAAUCACUUCGAGAAAGACACCACCAUAUGUCACCACUGUCACCAGCGUGUGUAGCCCACGUGCCUAGUUCCAACUAGACUCAUCGUUACAGAGAGGAUUGUUGGAACCUCUUGAGUCUGUUCCAUGGGUGGGUGACGUCCCAUUUGGCCCAUAUUUGAGUAGAUAUGAGUUUUGAGUUUUGCUCCUUUUUCUGAUGUAGCCCACAUGUCUUCAUUGUCUCGGAUAGAGUCACUAAAGACACAUGAUUGCGUUCCAAGGGAUGUCUGAGGUAAAAAUUAUUCCUUUGGUCCUAAUGAUCUUCCAAAUGUGGUGGGUGUCUAUCGAUUGGAUGGUCAAAAUUUCUUAUAAUAGAGCUAGUACAUCCGAAGGAAUCUUAAGGGACGUUCAAGACUAUAUCACAUAAAUGGAAGAGGGUCAGGACCAGACGACACUACUUUUUCAAUUUGGGAAAAUGAAGAUUCACUAAUUAUGACUUGGAUAUGGCAUUCCAUGAUUCUUGAGAUAAGUCACAAUUAUAUGUUUCAUUCUUGUGUCAAAGAUAUAUGGGAUGAUUUUCAGAGUACUUUUUCAUUAAAAAAUGAUUUUCGUGCAUGCUAUGACAUUGAAAGAUAUUUAAUACAAAACAAAACUCUCUUUCUAUAUUAGAAUAUAUCAUGAAAUGAUGGAUCAUAUGUUAUUACAUACAGAUAAAUCCGUAUGUAAUAUUACCUACAACCAUUUUACAUACAAAUUUUUUAGGUUAUAUAUGAAUUUUUAUCAUAACAACUAUUAGUAUAAAAAUAAUAAAAAUUAUCAUAGUAGUUCAAAUCCAAAAAAUAAUUAAUAUAUCCAAAUUGAAAUUAUGGAAGUGUAAGAAUCCAUAGUACCUCAAAUAAAAAAAAAUUAUGUUUACAAAAAAAUUAAAUAUGUCAAAAAUCCAAAUUAUUAAUAAAACUAUAGAAAUGAGCUUACAAAUAUAAAAUAAAACGUUUAAAAAAUACAAUAAUUAUAAAAACAACUACAAAAUAUGUAGUAAUUGAUGAAGCUGCAAAGAAGAUGAAAACUUGAUUUCUAUACACAUGGUUUGAUAAGGUGAAUAAAUUAAUUUAAAGUGGAUUUGGAGUCAAAGUCUUUGUUUGCGUCUUGAGCAAGGAAUUGAUUAAUAUAAAUAGAUCCUCCCAAUUCACCAAAACCCAAACCUAACUCAAUACUUAGCUUUUUUGAUAAGGCAAAGAUGAGUGUUCUCUCAGCCAUAUUCUGCUGUUUCAAAUCCAAGGAAGAAAAGAGCCAUAGCCCUACGGUGGCAGUGAAAGCAGGUUCUCUAUCUUUUUCUCAGAGAUCUUCACCUCCCAUUGUUGUUUCUCAUUUCCCAGUUAACUCUCCCCAUUCACUCUUGUAACACUUCAUUUCAACCAUCUCUUCCAACUUGUAAGCUUUUUACCUAUUCAAGAUUCAUUUUCUGUAUUCAAAAUGUUAUUAUAAUACUCAAUAAUUUCACGUCCUAUAAUAAUUGAGAUAUAAAAUACUUUAAAUACUUUUAUCUUUUUCUUAUACGUCUUUUAAAAUAAAAAUCAUGACGAAGUUUCAUGCUUUAAAAAUAAUUGAUCUUAACUUUAGACAAACAUAUACUUGUUUAAUGAAAUUAUACAAAAUUAUGAAGACUUAUUUGACAAACAUAUACUUGUUUAAUUAAGUCAAAAUUAAACAGUUACUUACCUUAUACUUUUUAGGUAAGCAAAAUCUCGUUAAACGAAAUCAAAAUCAAAGAGUUUACUAAUUUAAUAAAGAGUUUACUAAUUUAUUAUUAAAAUUAAAUGUUUAUUAUGGUGUUAAUAUAUCAAUAAUUUAUUAUUAAAAUUAAAUGUUUAUAUUAUUAUUUCCGAGAAAUUGCAAGCAAAAGAAAGAUAUUUUACAUUAAUUAUUCUUCACUCAAAAACAUGCGAGGAUAGAUAUAAAAAUUAAGUAACAACGUCACAGGUGACGCAGUGUAAGAAUAUUUAACUAAAAUACUUCCAUAAAUUUAAUGGGCCAUUAUUUCUUCUUUAUAAUUAGGAGUUUUCGUAAAUAAAUUUUAAUUUAAUGUCAAAUCAUAUUAGUAUGACAUUUUUAACAACUUUUGAUUUAUAUAAUUUUUCAGUGUUGGUUUAAUGGUUAUAUUUAUUUUUUAAGUCUGAUUCUGACCUACUAAAAAACUUAAUAUAACUUCAAUGUUUGUUAAGUAAUGUUUCAUAGAAUAAAUUAUAAAAAUAAUGAAAUAAAUUUACCCAAUCUAUCAAGCCUAUAAAAGGUCAAUACAUUUUGUUUGUUAGAUAAAUCAUUAUUUAAUUAUUAAAGACCAAUACUAAAGGAAAUAGAAAAUUGUAAGUGAUUAAUUCAUUUUACUUUUUUUUGUUUUCUUAAAAAGGAAAAAAAAACCAUCAUUUUACUUUUUUUCUUAAAAAAAGAAAAAAUCCAUUAUUUUCCAGAUUACGUUUUAUUUAUCUUUCAAUAUGUCAUAAAACAAAACUCCUAAAACAAAAUAGAUCAGGAAAAACAAUUAUGUUAUAAAUUGAGUUAAGUCUUUUUUAUUAUCUUAUUUUAUUAGCUUAAUCCAAAGUCUAUAAUUAAACUUCAACCAUCAGUUAUAAACUUAAUUACAUAUAAACUCUGAAAUAUCAAUUAUAUUUUAAAAAGAAAAAAAUUAUAAUAAAAAUAUUAAAAGUAUAUUUUAUUAAAAUGUAUGUUAACAUAAUUUGUAUAUUAACUCAAAUUUCAAAGUAAUUUCAUUUAUAUAUCUUAAAUAUUAAAAAGUAUAUAUCAAUUAUGCUAAGUUAGAUGGUCUUUGUAACAUCCCAAUAAAUAUAGUUUGCAAACUAUAGUUAUUUUAAGGAGUUAACAAAAAUAAUAAUAAAGAACAGUAGAGAAUAGUAAGUAAGAAGAAGAAAACGUAAUUUAUCACGUGGAAUUUAAAGCUGUACAAUAGAUAAAAUGUACAAUGAGAGACCGAACGGUCUAAGGUUCAUAUACUACCGAACGGCCUAAAACGAAAGACAUACCGAACGGUUUUACAACCUAUAAAACAACCGAACGCUUAUAUACACAAGACAGUAAUUAAAACCUAACUAAGGACCAGACAGUUCAACAACAUCCUCAGGUUGCUCCAACUGCAGGGCUUCCUCCAAUGAUUCUUCAAUAACACCUUCUGCUCACAUCCAAUGGAUGAUCAUUGCAGUGAAGAGAAAGGACUGAAUCGGCAAAAACCGAACGGUAGCAAAGACAUGACAGAAGAAUAAGGGUAAGCUUAUGUAAUUUAAUUAUUCUAAAUUCACAUACAUUCAACCGUCACAAUAAUAUAAUCAAACAACAUUUCAUUCAUACAAUCAUCAUACCAGUAUAGAAAUUAAGGAAAAACCGAACGUUUUAGACUAUAAAGACCGACCACUUUAGACUCUUCCUGGACGGUAUGAACAAUGUAGCACGACGUUUCUAGCACCCGGUGUGGUGUAGUAACUGACAUUCAUACAUCAACUGCCACCCGAGGUUAGUCCUAAAACGACCAUCUGGUCUUAUGAUCGCAUACCUCCUGCCAUUCCCACACAUCACCCUCCUCUACCUGAGAAGGCGUCCUCACGGAAUAUCAGGAACAAAAUGAUAGCAGAGACUGACCAUGUUCAUACUUUACCAAUCAUCACAAAUCAUGAGACACUCCUCCUUGGAAUUCUCUUAUAUAACCUUAUAACUGAUUUCAACCAAAUAGCACACCAUCACAUUUAAAUACAACUCUUAUAAGGGAUAAAUGAUUUAAAGGACUGACCGAACGGUCAAACGAAUGAGUAAUUUAUUUAGAAGACCGAAUACUAUUUAAAACCGAACGUAUAGAAACUUGCUUGGAGAAUGAGGUCCAACAUUUUAUAAUAACACUUUAGAUUGAGUAUAAGGACUUAGACCGAGCACUUUAGAACUUGAACCGAGUACUUUACAACCUUGGCCGGAUGAUUUAACAUAAAAGAAAUUCUCUUCAGGAAACUGAGUGUUAGUACAAGAUUGGACACUCUUUUGGAAAUCAAGUGUCAGUGUAAGACCGAACACUCUCCCAAAGAAAUAGUAUUAAUAUAAAAUCGAGUACUUUAAAGACUGAGUGCUAGUCUAAGACCAAGCACUUAAAAGACCGAAACGCUAGUCUAUGACCGAACGCUUAGAAACCGAGGACUCUUUUAAAGAGUAUUAUGAAUGCAAUUACCGAUUACCAAGUCUAUGACUGAGUAUCUCCUAAGGUCGAACGCUCAGUGUAAGACCGAACUUUCUAAAUAGAAUACAUGAAUAUUAAGAUCACAAAUUGAACUUUCUUAACUCGUUUGAAACGGCUAGGCUAAGCAAAGUAAUAAUAAGAUCAAUAUAAGGUUUUAUAAGACCGAUCAGUCAUCAACUGAUUCCCUAAAGGGGGAAUUCAGCUAAGACUAAACGUACUGGGGAAAACCGAACGGUCCUAAUGACCCUCGGUCACAGUUCCAGAAUUUCACUAAGUUUGUGCAGAUUUAUAACUAAAUUUCAUAUCAAAUAUCAAACAUGCAAUACACACAAACAACAUAUCAUACUUCAAAAAUCGUUAACCGUAUACUCAUUAAAUCAUGCAUCCAAAGAUAGUCAUAAUUAAAUUUAUAAGUUUCCCUUACCUCUAAUUCCAGCUGGACUUCUAAGUCUUUUACAACAACUACUUCAAGGCUCCAAAUUCAAAGGUCUGAUCGGUGAAAAGAGUCCACCAUUGCAUCAAAUACACAAAAAUGGGUUUUAGAGAGUAAAUUGAUGAAGACAUGCAAGCUGGAAUAUGUACUUGCAUGCAAGGAAGAUGAAGAGUUUCAAAAGACCAAAAAUGCUUACCGGUUCAAAUGGAAAUCUGAUCGGUGCAAAAGAAAGCUCUUGUCUCCGGGAAGAAUUAAUCUGAAGACAGUUUGAUGAUCGGAGCAAGAGAAUGAUCAGAAAAUUAGAGAGAAGUUCGAAGGUUUUAGAGAGAAUGAGGAGAAAUGGAGUUUCUGGAAGAUGAAGGAGAAAGGUUGCAUGCAGAAAGUGUUGCCAGAUUUAAAAUUCCACUUUAAAUACAGCCCCUAAAAACCGAACGGUCCACUCCCUGCCUGCCACCUGUUUUCUACUUUCUAGAAACUCAUAUUUCCUCUGCUGCCACACGGUUACCGAGGAGCGGAGAAUUAAAUGAACUACAUGACUUGUCUUUCACUUACAUGAGAAAUUUGGAGGAGCACAACACGUGUACUCCACUGAAAUGAGGAAUUAAUGGAAUGUGACAGUCUUGUUAAACAAAAUACAGAUAUUAAAAAUAUGAAGAAAAUGAAAAUAUGUGAGACGAGGAGAGAAGAAAAUACAAUGAACAAUUUAAAGAAUAGUAAAUUUUAAUAUUUUAUAAUAUGUUUUCUUUGGUGGAAGAUUUAUCAAAUUAUUUAUUUGUAAAAUAUUGAAUUAUAUUUUUUAAUUUACUCAUAAGAAUUAAGAAAAGUAAUAUAAUUUUAUAGUUUUUGUAAUAAUGAGUAAUUUUGCUAGAAUACAGGUUAUGUUGACCAACAUGAUAAUGUCAAUAUUAUUGAAACCUACAAAUGAACAAUUUAUACCAUUUUAAUAAAUUUGAAAUAAAUAUUUAUAUCAUUUCUUAAUUUUUUUAAUCAAUGAUUAUCAUUGAUGACAUUAUAUAUUCAUCAUUUCUUAAUAUUUAAAUUUAUUAACCUUGACAUUAUUGACAAUUGUAUGAAGUUGAUUGAAUUAGGGCACAAUAAAGUAUUUACAUUAUUAGAUAUAUUUUUAUAUUGUCAACCUUUAAUUUUGUUAGGACAAUAAUAGAAUAAGAAAUAAAAAAUAAUAAUAAUAAAUAAAUAAAAGUAAAAUAUAUUUUCGAUGGAUAAAAAAGAGAAAAAAUAAUAUAAUAAAUAAAAUAUAUAUAUAUAUAUAUAUAUAUAUAUAUAUAUAUAUAUAUAUUUUAAUUUUCAAACUUUAAUUUAGUUAAAAAAAUUAAUAUAAACAAGUUGAAAUCUCAUACAAAAAUUAAAUGGAAAUUUGAAGGCUUAAAUCCUUAAUUGGUCCCCAUGUUAAAAAGGAAUUUUCAGUUUAGUACCCGUUUUUAAAAGUGUAUACAUUGGGUCCCAUGUUUUGCAAUUUGUGUCAAUUUAGUGAAUUAAUGACACUUCAAACAAGUUUGUAACAACAAUUGGAAGGUGUUCAAACAGUUAAUAAACAUGCUCCAACUCAAAAUGACUUGUCCACUUGCAAUUUUCAAGUCAAAUUGAUGGUUCAAAGAGACUGAAUUGACACAAAUUGCAAAACAUGGAAACCCAAUGUAUAUACUUUUAAAAGCGGGUACUAAACUGAAAAUUCCCUCUUAACAUGGGGACCAAUUAAGGAUUUAAGCCAAAUUUGAACCCAAUAAAAUUCAUUCAUACAUGUAUUUGUUGUUCAAACAUAAAUGAAAGUAGUCUAAAUAAAAUUGUCUUUAAAGUUUGUAAGGUUUAAACAAAAUUACAUUAUAGAAAACAAAUUAAAAUUAUGCAAUAAAAAAGGUGAGAAAUACUAUAAUAAAUACACAAAGAAUGGACAAACACAUGAUCUUAUACACAUAAAAUAGAAAAAUACAAAAUUUAUUUGUGAAAUUUCUUCAAAUAUGAGAUUAUUGUAAAGUACACAGCAUCUUGGAAAGAAGAAAUUGAAUUUUAAUGAAUAUCAUAAAAACAUACGUACAUAUUAAAAUUAUUUUUAAUCUUAAAUUUCCAAAAUGUAAAAAUAAAUAAGUAAACUGUUAAUAUAAUUAUAAAAGUUUAUUUUACUGUUUUAUUAACCUUAAAAUAAAGAAAGCUUAAAUACGUUUCUAAAAUUUUAGAAUUUUAUUUAACUUUUUUUUUUAUUUUGAUUCCUAAAUAUAUGUUUAAAUUAUUAUUCCUUGAGUGGUUCAACUAAGAACCAACAUGACAAAAAUGAUCACAUUUAAAAUCUUAAAUGAAAUUCUAAAAUGUUUAUAAAUUUAUUUAAUUUUGAAAACAAUCAAAUAUAAUAAUGGCAUAAAAUUUACAAUUUCAAGAGCUAAACUAAAUCAAUCCUUUAGGAAGACAAUCAUAUGUGUUGGUAUAAUCAUAAAUAAAUUUUAAUAAAUUUAUCUCAUUUAAAGAGAUUACUUUAAAACAUGUUUUAACACGUGAAAAUUUUAUUUCUAAUAAUCUUCUUUUAUUCUUAAUAUUAUGUUUUAAUAAAGAGUAGUUUUAAUUUCUUUUAAAUGAAAUUAAAUAUUAUUAAUUUAAAUUUAUUUUAUUUUAUUUAAUUUGAAAUUGGAGAAAUUAUAAUUUAGUAACUGUAAUUAACAAAUCCACAGACCUGGACCUCCAAAUUCUCCAAAUUCUGCUAUCUGUUUUGACCAUGAAACAGAAGAAAACAAAGAAAAGGGAAAGCACACAGAGGCAGAGAGACAUGUCCCUCCCACAAGCCCAAAGGCAAACAACACAACAUAUACUGUCUCCUCAAUCUCUCCAAAGUCCAUUCCACUUGCCACUUCUCCACUGCCUCUGGUUAAAAUAUAUAGAACAAAUUCCAAGCCUUUAUAGGUACUGUCUUUUUUCUCACACCACCCACAUGGCUCUUCUUCACAAGCUCGCACCUUUUUCCUCUCUCCACUCACCCUUCAACAGAAAGCCUCAUUUUUCUCCUCCCCGCCGCCACCUCGUUUGCUUCUCCGCCUCACCC
Molecule: long non-coding RNA, 10658 nt
Filed under: Vigna radiata
Lineage: Eukaryota; Viridiplantae; Streptophyta; Magnoliopsida; Fabales; Fabaceae
Description: long non-coding RNA (VRAD_LNC003997)
Source: RNAcentral